AUGUUAAGUCAGCCCAUCAACACACUGUGUUGGAAUGUUAGGGGAUUAAACUGCCCGGCCAGGAGGGCAACUGUUAGUGCUACGAUUGCGUCUUCCUCCUGCCAAAUUGUGUGUCUGCAAGAGACAAAACUGGAGAACGUGGAUGUGUUUACUGCUGCCUUUCUCGGUGGUAACAGGCUGCGGAAUUUUGCGCAACGUCCGGCUGUGGGGACAAGGGGUGGACUGUUGCUUCUAUGGGAUGACAGCGUUCUCGAGGUCUCCGACAUUUCUUUCUCGGCUUAUUGCCUUUCGGCUUCGGUCCGAGUCCUCGAGAAUGAGGUGUGUUUCAAGCUCACUAAUGUCUACGGGCCUACUGACUAUGCAUGCAAGGAGGCUUUCUUUGCUGAGAUAUGCUCCUGCAAGCCACUUCCGGGUUUGGGCUGGCUCGUGCUUGGGGACUUGAACCAAAUAUACCGUGCUAGGGACAAGAACAAGCGAAAUUUCAACCGGAGGAGGAUUAAGCGCUUUCGUGACACUCUUCAGUCAUGUGAGCUCAAGGAGAUCCAUCUGUAGAAUAGGCGGUUCACGUGGAGCAACGAGAGGGAAAACCCAACCCUUUGCAAGCUGGACUCCUUCUUCUGUAAUGCGACCUGGGACUUGUCUUUCAACACCCAUGUGCUUCACGCCCUUUCGUCGUCCCUUUCCGACCACUGCCCUUUGCUGCUCGCCAACGACAGGGGGCCUAGGCGGCCUCGGUCCUUCAAGUUUGAAAACUUCUGGGUGUCCUUGCCUGGUUUCGAUGAGGUGGUCUCGAAGGCUUGGGCCGAGCGGGUGCGACGCACUGAGCCGUACCAGAUUCUGUAUCAAAAGCUCAAGAAAACCGCGAUGCGUCUCUCUGAGUGGAGUAAGAAGCUUUUCUCCAAGGCGAAGGUCCAGUUUCAUGCGGCUCAGCUGGUGAUCCUUCACCUUGACAUUGCGCAGGAGGGGAGAUCCCUCUCCCCUGAGGAGCGGGACCUCCGCUUGAGACUGAAGAGAAGGGUUAUUAGCCUGUCGGUGCUCCAGAGGGCUCGAAAGAGUCAGUGUGCAAGGGUUGCAAAUUUGAAAGAUGGUGAUGCUAACACCAAAUUUUUUCAUCGACGCAUUAAUGCUAGGCGGCGAAAGAACCACAUUCAUCGGAUCAAGCACAGGCAUGGUUGGGUAACCGAGCAUAAAGAAAAAGAGAAGAUCAUUCACGACCACUUCCAUGAGGUGAGGGGAGAAGGGGAUCGAGCGGCAAGGACUUUAAUUGGGAGGAGCUAG
RNAcentral lists this ribosomal RNA (1278 nucleotides) under Triticum aestivum (bread wheat). RNAcentral's name for it is "partial small subunit ribosomal RNA". Lineage: Eukaryota; Viridiplantae; Streptophyta; Magnoliopsida; Poales; Poaceae. The record is from RNAcentral.